This 468-nucleotide ribosomal RNA is filed under the name uncultured bacterium. RNAcentral's name for it is "partial 16S ribosomal RNA". It matches the Rfam family "Bacterial small subunit ribosomal RNA", at positions 28 to 507 of the family's 1533-position model. The record is from RNAcentral.
GACGAACGCUGGCGGCGUGCUUAACACAUGCAAGUCGAACGGAUAGGCCCUGCUUUUGUGGGGUGCUCGAGUGGCGAACGGGUGAGUAACACGUGAGUAACCUGCCCUUGACUUUGGGAUAACUUCAGGAAACUGGGGCUAAUACCGGAUAGGAGCUCCUGCUGCAUGGUGGGGGUUGGAAAGUUUCGGCGGUUGGGGCUGGACUCGCGGCUUAUCAGCUUGUUGGUGGGGUAGUGGCUUACCAAGGCUUUGACGGGUAGCCGGCCUGAGAGGGUGACCGGCCACAUUGGGACUGAGAUACGGCGCAGACUCCUACGGGAGGCAGCAGUGGGGAAUAUUGCACAAUGGGCGGAAGCCUGAUGCAGCAACGCCGCGUGCGGGAUGACGGCCUUCGGGUUGUAAACCGCUUUCGCCUGUGACGAAGCGGGAGUGACGGUAAUGGGUAAAGAAGCACCGGCUAACUACGUG